This 429-nucleotide ribosomal RNA is filed under the name uncultured bacterium. RNAcentral's name for it is "bacterial SSU rRNA". It matches the Rfam family "Bacterial small subunit ribosomal RNA", at positions 29 to 506 of the family's 1533-position model. The record is from RNAcentral.
ACGAACGCUGGCGGCAGGCUUAACACAUGCAAGUCGAGCGCCUCGCAAGAGGAGCGGCAGACGGGUGAGUAACGCGUGGGAAACUACCCUUUGGUACGGAACAACUCCGGGAAACUGGAGCUGAUACCGUAUGUGCCCUUCGGGGGAAAGAUUUAUCGCCAUAGGAUGUGCCCGCGUAGGAUUAGCUAGUUGGUGGGGUAAUGGCCCACCAAGGCGACGAUCCUUAGCUGGUCUGAGAGGAUGAUCAGCCACACUGGGACUGAGACACGGCCCAGACUCCUACGGGAGGCAGCAGUGGGGAAUAUUGGACAAUGGGCGCAAGCCUGAUCCAGCCAUGCCGCGUGAGUGAUGAAGGCCUUAGGGUUGUAAAGCUCUUUCGCACGCGACGAUAAUGACGGUAGCGUGAGAAGAAGCCCCGGCUAACUUCGU